AACGAACGCUGGCGGCGCGUCUUAAACAUGCAAGUCGAACGAUCUGUAGCAAUACAGGGAGUGGCGGACGGGUGAGGAACACGUAGGAAUCUACCUAGAAGAGCGGGACAACUUUGGGAAACCGGGGCUAAUACCGCAUAGUACAGAGAUGUUAAAGGGCUAGCAAUAGUCGCUUCUAGUUGAGCCUGCGGUCUAUCAGGCUUGUUGGUGAGGUAAUGGCUCACCAAGGCAGCGACGGAUAGCCGGUCUGAGAGGAUGAUCGGCCACACUGGCACUGAGACACGGGCCAGACUCCUACGGGAGGCAGCAGUUAAGAAUCUUGCGCAAUGGGGGAAACCCUGACGCAGCGACGCCGCGUGAAGGAUGAAGGCUUUCGGGUGUAAACUUCGGUAGACUGGGAAGAAGAACUACGUUCGUUGAGGGCGUAGAGUGACGGUACCAGUCUGAAGCCCCGGCUAAUACGUGCCAGCAGCCGCGGUAAU
This 482-nucleotide ribosomal RNA is filed under the name uncultured bacterium. RNAcentral's name for it is "bacterial SSU rRNA". It matches the Rfam family "Bacterial small subunit ribosomal RNA", at positions 29 to 524 of the family's 1533-position model. The record is from RNAcentral.